CGGCCUGACAUCGUCGCCACAUAGAAUCAAUCAAUCGCUGCACUGCCUGUUGAGGGAUGUUAUUCCACUCUUCAUGCAAUGCUCUCUCAAGUUGAGGAAGUGUCUGAGGCUGGUGUUGUCGCAUGUUGUUCAACUCAUCUCUGGUUUGUCUUGCCGUUUUGAAACGAUUUCGUAGAUGCGACAGGCGCAUAGAAAGAUCCUCUCAUGGAGUAGUUAUUCUUCUCCCAAGUCGACGGGGUUGAUUUUUUGUGACACUUUUGUUCUUUCACGAUCCAUUGUUGCGUACACGGCUCUUCUUGUUACAUUAAAAUGUCGCGCAGCAGUGGAUACCGAGGCAGCCCAGCGGAUCAUUCCAACAAGCUGAUUUUGCACAUUUUUCUCUUAGACGUGGCAUCACCAAACGUAGAUAACACAAGUUUUUAGCACUGGCGAAUUGUUACAAAAAUGACAAAGCUUUGAUGUGUACUUCUUUUUUCAGCAAAUCGUUGCUGUGACAUGCGUAAUUCUCCCCCCCCCCCCAAA
Molecule: long non-coding RNA, 522 nt
Organism: Aplysia californica (California sea hare)
Lineage: Eukaryota; Metazoa; Mollusca; Gastropoda; Aplysiida; Aplysiidae
Exons: 2
Source: RefSeq, a predicted model, not a curated record